CCGCGAGGACCUCAGCCCGCGAAGGCUGCAAGCUGCGGGCGUGUAAGGUGUGCGGGGGCCUGUGCGAGGUGGGAGUCCCGCGCCGGAAGUGGAGAGGUGCGACCGAGGGGCCUCGAGGCGGAGAGGAAAUAGGGGGGCUGCGGUUCCGGGCGACCCCGUCCUCGCCGCGGCCGCGGAGGAGGGCGUCCCCCAGGUGGCGGGGCCGGGGCGGGGCGCCGCGGCUGGGGCGGGGGCGGGGCCGGGGCGGCGGGACCCCGCCUUCCGCGCUCCUUCGGCCGCCCGCGGCCGGCGCGCCCAGAAGCUCGUCGGCUCCCGCCGAGGUCGCUGCGCCAUGGCUCUGGGGCCCUCCCUGACCCCCCACGAGGGCGCCCUGUCUGCGGCGUGACGGGCGGCCCAGACGGUCGCCAUGGGCCAGUGCUACUACAACGAGACUAUCCGCUUCUUCUACAACAACAGUGGCAAGGAGCUCACUUCUUACUGGCGGCCCAAGGAUGUGGUUGUGGUGGCACUGGGGCUGACGGUCAGCGUGCUGGUGCUGCUGACCAACUUGCUGAUCAUUAUGGCCAUUGCCUCCAACCGCCGCUUCCACCAGCCCAUUUACUACCUGCUGGCCAACCUGGCUGCAGCCGACUUCUUCGCUGGUGUGGCCUACCUCUUCCUUAUGUUCCACACUGGCCCGCGCACAGCCCGGCUCUCAGUCAAGACCUGGUUCCUGCGUCAGGGCCUGCUAGACACGAGCCUGACAGCGUCGGUGGCCACGCUGUUGGCCAUCGCCGUGGAGCGGCACCGCAGCGUGAUGACCGUGCAGCUGCAUAGCCGCCUGCCCCGUGGUCGUGUCAUCAUACUCAUUGUGGGCGUGUGGGUGCCUGCACUGGCCCUGGGGCUGCUGCCUUCCCACGUCUGGAACUGCCUCUGUGCCCUGGACCGCUGCUCACGCAUGGCCCCCCUGCUCAGCCGCUCCUACCUAACCGCCUGGGCUCUGUCCAGCCUGCUUGUCUUCCUGCUCAUGGUGGCCGUCUACACCCACAUUUUCUUCUAUGUGCGGCAGCGUGUGCAGGGCAUGGCGGAGUAUGUUACCAGCUACCCCCGAUACCGCGACACCACACUCAACCUGGUCAAGACCGUUGUCAUCAUCCUGGGGGCAUUCGUGGUCUGCUGGACUCCAGGCCAGGUGGUGCUGCUUCUAGAUGGUCUGGGCUGCAAGUCCUGCAACGUCCUGGCUGUGGAGAAGUACUUCCUGCUCUUGGCCGAGGCCAACUCACUGGUCAAUGCGGUGGUGUACUCGUGCCGGGAUGCUGAGAUGCGUCGCACCUUCCGCCGCCUCCUGUGCUGUCUAUGCCUCCGCCGGCCCUCCCACGAGUCUGCCCACUGUGCACCCUCCGCCCAGACAGGCACCAGCACUCGCAUUAUGCUUCCGGAGAAUGGCCACCCCCUGAGAGACUCCACUCUUUAGCCAACCUCAGACUUCAGCAGGGGUGUGGCAAGAGCCGUAACACAGCCCCUCGCCACAGGUGGAUGCGCCCGGCUCUACCCAGUCUGUAGGCUUAAAGGCAGACCCUCAGUCUGGGGUAGCAUGUCACUACUGCCAGCCCUCCCCAGGCACACAACUCUGCCUGCCCCCAGGCCUGGGGGCUUGGGGUCAUCUCCAAGUGCCUGGAAGAGUCAGGUGGGGUUUGGGAAUCUGCUCUCUCUUCAGUCAUCUCAGGUUAUGGGGUUUUUUUAAUGGACAUUUUUUCUGUUUUUACUGCACAACCCUGGUAGACCUCAUGGGCUGCUUCACGGCAGUGUGGACGUUAAAGAUGGGAGAGAGGAGGGCAUACACGCUGCCAGUGUGACAGGGUAACAAAGAUGGACCGUGGACGUACCAUUUGCCUGAGGCGGAUUCUUCAGGGGCACAGAUUAAUGGGUGCCGUGUGCAAGCUGGGAAAGGUGUGUCAUCCCAUUGCCCACCCCACCACCUGUAUACCCGCCUGCCGCCCAGGGUCGUGGGGUCUAUGGAGCAGGAUGCGGAUUUGAGAGUUGCUGUUUCUCAGGCUCCUGCAACGUGCCUGGUACACCGAUCCUUCUCUGAAGUCGUGAGUGCUAAUGGCCAGAAACAAAGACCUGUGAAGAUUCGCCCAGACUUGGGGUGCACCGCGGGCUGGGCCCUGGGGAAGCAUCCUGUGUUCCUUCAGUAGCCAGGCGCUGGCAUUUUCUGCACCGGCAAUGCGGUUAGAGCAAGCAGACUGCACAGAUAGUGGAGGGACAUGGGGACUUUGGAAUGCACUUAGUUGAGACCCAGCCCAAAUCAGCUGGAGACGUCCUGUGUGAGGGAUACCAGUCUCCUUGAAUGAUCUUCUGACCUUCUCCGGCUAUACCCCGAGGUCUUCCUGGAAGAAGGGACAGUUUUUCCGUCUUCUUGAUAUGGACCUUUCACUGAUCACAUGCUCGUUCAUUUCUUGUAUGGGACCAGUAAGGCAAAAAUGUUAUCUCGUUCGCCAAGGAUUAUCUGAGCAUUUUGCGCUGCAUGCAUAACCUUAUUUUUUUUAAAUAAUAAUAUGUUUCACAGUUGACAUAUGUUAUUUCAUUUGCUUCUUUUGACUACUUUUAUGAGGGGUUUAUAAGGAUCACCAGACUAGUGUUGAGGGCUCCUUUGUCAAGGCCAUCAGGCCUCAAAGUUCUUGCCUCCUCCCAGGGUCCUCAGCCAGUGUUUGAGUCAGGGGCCCCUGUUGCAAGCUCCUCCUCCCCCUGCCCCCACAAAAAAUGUGGUGUGCUUGUGUGCCACGCCCCCAGGGAUCCUGAAGCCUCAGGUGCCCUGGAGUCUGGAAGCUGCCUCUCAUCAAAGGUUCAUGGACUUACUUUUUGUCUAGUAGUGAGAUUUCCUAAGAAGUCAGUAUGAAAACUCUAGAACCGGAAAUGUCAGAGUAGAAAGUUUUAGAAACCUGAUUGAAAAAGAAGCAGCAGAAUGGCCCACAGAGUCAUCCUGGAGACCCAGACUCCACACCUGAUACUCUGGGAGAGGCAGCUGAAGAGGACUGGCCCUUCUUCGAGUCAUUGUGUACCCCGCAGCGACAGGCGGGUUAUGUGGCAGGACUGGCAGACUUUGGCCGCAGUGGCCCUUUCCUCACCCUUUGCCUGCAAGUGUACACUUGUAGCCUAGACGGCUAUACCAUCCAACGUGGUAGCCAUUCACCAUGUGUCUUUUCAAGUUAAAAUGAAAUAUAAUUAAAUGUUCAGUUCCUCAGUUGCCCUAGCUACAUUUCGAGUGCUCAGUAUCCACAUGUGGCUAGUGGCUGCCACAUUAGUACAGACAGAGAACAUUUCCAUCAUUGCAGAAAAUACUGGACAGUGGCGCUCGCUAGCAGGGGCCAUGCAGCAGAUCUCUGUGGAAUCUUAUUGCAAUGCAAGUUCUGAUAUACCACAUAGCAAGGUCUUGGUGGGGCCCAGGGGUCCUCAUUUCUAACAAGCUCCCAAGGGUGACAAUGCUGGUGAUCCCAGACCACACUCGGAAAGGUCAUGCUCUCAAGAGUGGAGAUGAUAGUGUCCUGUUUAUUUCAGUUUUCAUAAAUCAGUUUUCCAAGUAGAUGGUUAGUCUGACAAUUGGAAGUUAUUUUUGAGCCAAGGUUGUGUUUGUAGCCAUAAUGGAUUUUAAAUUAGUCAUAAGGGUUACAUAUUAGCAUUGCUUGCCUGUUUAAUAUAGAAAUAAAACUAGAAAUGAAUAAAAUUCAGAGUAGUUGUUUUUUUUGUUUUUUUUUUACUCUAAAUGAAAUUCUUGGCCUGUUUCAGAG
RNA transcript from Manis pentadactyla (Chinese pangolin), 3767 nucleotides. It is a transcript of the gene named lysophosphatidic acid receptor 2, with no coding region annotated. The transcript is spliced from 6 exons. NCBI's taxonomy places the organism in Eukaryota, Metazoa, Chordata, Mammalia, Pholidota, Manidae. The record is from RefSeq and is a predicted model, not a curated record.